RNAcentral lists this ribosomal RNA (253 nucleotides) under uncultured bacterium. RNAcentral describes it as "partial 16S ribosomal RNA". It matches the Rfam family "Bacterial small subunit ribosomal RNA", at positions 524 to 776 of the family's 1533-position model. The record is from RNAcentral.
UACAGGGGGGGCAAGCGUUGUUCGGAAUUACUGGGCGUAAAGGGCUCGUAGGCGGCCAACUAAGUCCGACGUGAAAUCCCAAAGCUUAACUUUGGAACUGCGUCGGAUACUGGAUGGCUUGAAUUCGGGAGAGGGAUGCAGAAUUCCAGGUGUAGCGGUGAAAUGCGUAGAUAUCUGGAGGAAUACCGGUGGCGAAGGCGGCAUCCUGGACCGACAUUGACGCUGAUGAGCGAAAGCGAGGGGAGCAAACGGG